GACGAACGCUGGCGGCGCGCCUAACACAUGCAGGUCGAACGAGCGAGAGAGAGCUUGCUUUCUCGAGCGAGUGGCGAACGGGUGAGUAACGCGUGAGGAACCUGCCUCAAAGAGGGGGACAACAGUUGGAAACGACUGCUAAUACCGCAUAAGCCCACGGGUCGGCAUCGACCAGAGGGAAAAGGAGCAAUCCGCUUUGAGAUGGCCUCGCGUCCGAUUAGCUAGUUGGUGAGGUAACGGCCCACCAAGGCAACGAUCGGUAGCCGGACUGAGAGGGUGAACGGCCACAUUGGGACUGAGACCCGGCCCAGACUCCUACGGGAGGCAGCAGUAGGGAAUAUUGCACAAUGUGGGAAAACCUGAUGCAGCGACGCCGCGUGGAGGAAGAAGGUCUUCGGAUUGUAAACUCCUGUUGUUGGGGAAGAUAAUGACGGUACCCAACAAGGAAGUGACGGCUAACUACGUG
This 466-nucleotide ribosomal RNA is filed under the name uncultured bacterium. RNAcentral describes it as "partial 16S ribosomal RNA". It matches the Rfam family "Bacterial small subunit ribosomal RNA", at positions 28 to 507 of the family's 1533-position model. The record is from RNAcentral.